This 585-nucleotide ribosomal RNA is filed under the name proteobacterium TDB-016. RNAcentral's name for it is "bacterial SSU rRNA". It matches the Rfam family "Bacterial small subunit ribosomal RNA", at positions 102 to 683 of the family's 1533-position model. Lineage: Bacteria; Pseudomonadati; Pseudomonadota. RNAcentral also lists the same sequence under 7 other names. The record is from RNAcentral.
ACGGGUGAGUAAUAUAUCGGAACGUGCCCAGUUGUGGGGGAUAGCCCGGCGAAAGCCGGAUUAAUACCGCAUACGACCUGAGGGUGAAAGCGGGGGAUCGCAAGACCUCGCGCAAUUGGAGCGGCCGAUAUCAGAUUAGCUAGUUGGUGGGGUAAAGGCCUACCAAGGCGACGAUCUGUAGCUGGUCUGAGAGGACGACCAGCCACACUGGGACUGAGACACGGCCCAGACUCCUACGGGAGGCAGCAGUGGGGAAUUUUGGACAAUGGGCGCAAGCCUGAUCCAGCCAUGCCGCGUGCGGGAAGAAGGCCUUCGGGUUGUAAACCGCUUUUGUCAGGGAAGAAACGGUCUGAUCUAAUAAAUUGGACUAAUGACGGUACCUGAAGAAUAAGCACCGGCUAACUACGUGCCAGCAGCCGCGGUAAUACGUAGGGUGCAAGCGUUAAUCGGAAUUACUGGGCGUAAAGCGUGCGCAGGCGGCUAUGCAAGACAGAUGUGAAAUCCCCGGGCUCAACCUGGGAACUGCAUUUGUGACUGCAUGGCUAGAGUACGGUAGAGGGGGAUGGAAUUCCGCGUGUAGCAGUG